GAAACCCAAAAGAUCGAAUAGGGAGAUUCAUCGUCAGCUCAUUUUGUAUAUGUAUGAGUUAUGAUGCGAGUUACUACUUGUAGUAUUGCUUGCACAUUCUUAUAUAUUUAAUUGCAUUAUGUUGUCGGCGUGCACUUCUCCUUUAGUAGAACGUCGCGACUCAUUGUUUGUUGGUUUACGGCCCAAGUUAUUAGUCUUUAAUAUUUUAUUAUAUUAAAAAUUCUUGGUGCUUUCUAACCGGCUAUACAGUGGUAUUCAUAUGGUAAUAAGCCGCAAUUAUAUGCGUCCAUUUCCAUCGCAAGCAAGGCCAAUUUUUGGUAGUACGGACCAAGUGCCGUCGCUAGUAUUGGUCAGCUGUUGGCUGUUAUGGUAUUCUUGGACUGGCUGAAAAAAUAAUUACCGGUUAGCGAUGCUAUUGCUUUGGGUACUUUCAGGACCCGUCUUGAAACACGGACCAAGGAGUCUAACAUGUACGCGAGUCAUUGGGAUUUUUUUUUUAAAUUAAACCUAAAGGCGUAAUAAAAGUAAAGAUCGGCCUUGCGUUGAUCGAGGGAGGAUAAGUUGCAUUAUUAUGUAGCUUCGCACUCCCGGGGCGUCUCAUUCUUAUUACAAGAAGAGGCGCACUUAG
Molecule: ribosomal RNA, 628 nt
Filed under: Spinaria suliana
Lineage: Eukaryota; Metazoa; Arthropoda; Insecta; Hymenoptera; Braconidae
Description: eukaryotic LSU rRNA
Rfam family: Eukaryotic large subunit ribosomal RNA
Source: RNAcentral